Molecule: ribosomal RNA, 252 nt
Filed under: uncultured bacterium
Lineage: Bacteria
Description: partial 16S ribosomal RNA
Rfam family: Bacterial small subunit ribosomal RNA
Source: RNAcentral
UACGUAAGGACCGAGCGUUGUCCGGAAUCAUUGGGCGUAAAGGGUACGUAGGCGGUUAGACAAGUUAGAAGUGAAAGCCUAUUGCUCAACAAUAGAAAGCUUUUAAAACUGUUUAACUUGAGAGAUGGAAGGGUAAGUGGAAUUCCUAGUGUAGCGGUGAAAUGCGCAGAUAUUAGGAGGAACACCGGUGGCGAAGGCGGCUUUCUGGCCAUUAUCUGACGCUGAGGUACGAAAGCGUGGGUAGCAAACAGG